CCCUUAGAUGUCCUGGGCCGCACGCGCGUUACACUGAUGCAUUCAACGAGCUUAUAACCUUGGCCGAGAGGCCUGGGCAAUCUUGUUAACGUGCAUCGUGAUAGGGAUAGAUUAUUGAAAUUAUUAAUCUUGAACGAGGAAUUCCUAGUAAACGCAGAUCAUCAAUCUGCAUUGAUUACGUCCCUGCCCUUUGUACACACCGCCCGUCGCACCUACCGAUUGAAUGGCUUAGUGAGGCUCCCGGACCGACCGCCAGUGGCUUUACGGCUGCCGAUGGUUGGAAAGUUAGACAAACUUGGUCAUUUAGAGGAAGUAAAAGUCGUAACA
This 327-nucleotide ribosomal RNA is filed under the name uncultured eukaryote. RNAcentral's name for it is "partial 18S ribosomal RNA". It matches the Rfam family "Eukaryotic small subunit ribosomal RNA", at positions 1470 to 1796 of the family's 1831-position model. The record is from RNAcentral.